RNAcentral lists this long non-coding RNA (1268 nucleotides) under Helianthus annuus (common sunflower). The record is from RNAcentral. Lineage: Eukaryota; Viridiplantae; Streptophyta; Magnoliopsida; Asterales; Asteraceae.
AUGUUAUGUGUAAAUAGACCAUGUUCAUCGCAUUGAGACGAGAGUCACGAGACAAAGAAAGAGAACAGAUAGCGAGCAGAGCGGUAAGAGAGAGAAACAGAGAUCCGGGAGCCGGCGAGUCUCUGGCAACCGGCCUUCGACGCGUGCUCGCCUCCCACAAACAGAACUGAACGACUCUAGGGCUUUUCGGUGAAGAUUAUGAAGUGCAGUAAUAUGGACACCACUCGUCGCGGUGACUGUCAUCGCCGCUGCUGACAUGAAGAUUUAGGGUUCCGCCGUGACAGAGUGUGACGAUGGUGUUGUUAGUUGUCACCGAAGGUGAGUAACUCUGGCCAAUCGACUCUAUGGUGUUUCUGUGCAACCAAAAUCGGCACCGAUCAGAUACAUUUUAUCUUAUGGAAAAAUAAGGAAAGGCAGAACAGCAAAGAUGGGGAAUUGAACCAACAUCAAGUGGGUAACACCGGAUGCAUCUAAACCACUAAUCCAUUGAGCUUUUCCAGGUUUCUCAAAAUGCUUAUUUAUAGAUAUAUAACAUCAUCGGCAAACUAUACAUAAAAAGACCCAAGACUGAAGAAAAAGGAUAGGAGACAGGAUGCGGUCUGAUGGUGGGGUCUCUAAGAUGUCUAUUUGGUGGCAUGGGCAUAUGGAUAUGGAUCACUAUAAUCAGCUCCAGUAUAUGGAUGUCCCGCUAACAUGGCCGAAUGAAACAGGUCCGAUUGCUACGAUGACCUGAAUUUUACUGUUUGGUAUAAGUCGGAGUUAAGGUAACCUUUAAAACAAAGACUCUGUUUGGCAAGUUGUAUUGAUUUUAAAAGUCUACAUGUUGUAAAAGAAAAUAUGUAAUUAGAGAUUAGCAUUUGAUGUAUAAAAUUUGCUGCUAUGAAUGAAUGUUUUGGAAACUAACUCAUAUGUUAAAAACGGAAGGCAAAUGAACAGUGUUAUCAUCUGCGUGGAAGGUUUUGAUUCAGUUUUUUUCUUUUCUCUUCUUUCGUAAUGUUUUCAAGUUAUUCGAUUUCACCUAUGACGUUUUGCUGGAGUGGUUAUGUUCCAUGUUUUGUUGGUACCGGUCCGGGUUCGACCCCCAGCUUCAAGACAAUUCACGCGUGUAUUUCGAAGAAAGAUCAUAUCAAGAUCCAAUGUUUUUAAAAAUAAAGUGGUUUGAUUUUAUGAUUUGGUUUGUUUUUUGCCUAUUGAUACUUUUCUGUGAUGGAUGUUAUGUGUAAAUAGACCAUGUUCAUCGCAUUGGUAGGUCAUAAUAAAAGGCUUUA